Molecule: ribosomal RNA, 234 nt
Filed under: uncultured Glomus
Lineage: Eukaryota; Fungi; Glomeromycota; Glomeromycetes; Glomerales; Glomeraceae
Description: partial 18S ribosomal RNA
Rfam family: Eukaryotic small subunit ribosomal RNA
Source: RNAcentral
UUGGAGGGCAAGUCUGGUGCCAGCAGCCGCGGUAAUUCCAGCUCCAAUAGCGUAUAUUAAAGUUGUUGCAGUUAAAAAGCUCGUAGUUGAAUUUCGGGAUCAAUAUGUCGGUCGUGCCUCGGUACGUACUGGCAUCAUUGGUUUCUCCCUUCUGAUGAACCAUGAUGCCAUUAAUUUGGUGUCGUGGGGAAUCAGGACUGUUACUUUGAAAAAAUUAGAGUGUUUAAAGCAGGC